UACGUAGGGGGCUAGCGUUGUCCGGAAUCAUUGGGCGUAAAGCGCGUGUAGGCGGCUCGGUAAGUCCGCUGUGAAAGCCGGGGGCUCAACCCUCGGAUGCCGGUGGAUACUGUCGGGCUUGAGUACGGAAGAGGCGAGUGGAAUUCCUGGUGUAGCGGUGAAAUGCGCAGAUAUCAGGAGGAACACCAAUUGCGAAGGCAGCUCGCUGGGACGUUACUGACGCUGAGACGCGAAAGCGUGGGGAGCAAACAGG
Molecule: ribosomal RNA, 253 nt
Filed under: uncultured bacterium
Lineage: Bacteria
Description: partial 16S ribosomal RNA
Rfam family: Bacterial small subunit ribosomal RNA
Source: RNAcentral